AGACGAACCGGGCAAACGUUAUUCGGAAUCACUGGGCUUAAAGCGUGCGUAGGCGGCUUGGCAAGUUGGGUGUGAAAGCCCUCGGCUCGACCGAGGAACUGCGCUCAAAACUGCCAGGCUUGAGGGAGAUAGAGGUGAGUGGAACUGAUGGUGGAGCGGUGAAAUGCUUUGAUAUCAUCAGGAACACCGGUGGCGAAAGCGGCUCACUGGGUCUCUUCUGACGCUGAGGCACGAAAGCUAGGGGAGCGAACGGGAUUAGAAACCCCAGUAGUCC
RNAcentral lists this ribosomal RNA (274 nucleotides) under uncultured bacterium. Its description in RNAcentral is "partial 16S ribosomal RNA". It matches the Rfam family "Bacterial small subunit ribosomal RNA", at positions 523 to 796 of the family's 1533-position model. The record is from RNAcentral.